ACUCCUACGGGAGGCAGCAGUGGGGAAUAUUGCACAAUGGGCGAAAGCCUGAUGCAGCAACGCCGCGUGAGGGAUGACGGCCUUCGGGUUGUAAACCUCUUUUGGUAGGGAAGAAGCCUUCGGGUGACGGUACCUGCAGAAAAAGCGCCGGCUAACUAC
RNAcentral lists this ribosomal RNA (159 nucleotides) under uncultured Gram-positive bacterium. Its description in RNAcentral is "partial 16S ribosomal RNA". It matches the Rfam family "Bacterial small subunit ribosomal RNA", at positions 335 to 504 of the family's 1533-position model. The record is from RNAcentral.